GAUGAACGCUAGCGGCAGGCUUAAUACAUGCAAGUCGUGGGGCAGCACAGUGUAGCAAUACCUGGGUGGCGACCGGCAAACGGGUGCGGAACACGUACGCAACCUUCCUUCAAGUGGGGACUAGCCCAGGGAAACUUGGAUUAAUACCCCGUAAUAUGUCGGAGUGGCAUCACUCUGAGCUUAUAGCUACGGCGCUUGCAGAUCGGCGUGCGACUGAUUAGGUAGUGGGCGGGGUAACGGCCCACCAAGCCUGCUAUCAGUAACUGGUGUGAGAGCACGACCAGUCACACGGGCACUGAGACACGGGCCCGACUCCUACGGGAGGCAGCAGUAAGGAAUAUUGGUCAAUGGACGCAAGUCUGAACCAGCCAUGCCGCGUGGAGGAUGAAGGUCCUCUGGAUUGUAAACUUCUUUUAUUUGGGAAGAAACCCACGGUUUCUACUGUGGUUGACGGUACCAGAUGAAUAAGCACCGGCUAACUCCGUGCCAGCCGCCGCCGUAAGAC
Molecule: ribosomal RNA, 505 nt
Filed under: uncultured bacterium
Lineage: Bacteria
Description: bacterial SSU rRNA
Rfam family: Bacterial small subunit ribosomal RNA
Source: RNAcentral